CAGCCGCCGCGGUAAAACGAAGGGUGCAAGCGUUAAUCGGAACUACUGGGCGUAAAGCGUGCGCAGGCGGUUUGUUAGGACAGAUGUGAAAUCCCCGGGCUCAACCUGGGAACUGCAUUUGUGACUGGCAAGCUAGAGUGUGGCAGAGGGGGGUGGAAUUCCGCGUGUAGCAGUGAAAUGCGUAGAUAUGCGGAGGAACACCGAUGGCGAAGGCAGCCCCCUGGGCCAACACUGACGCUCAUGCACGAAAGCGUGGGGAGCAAACAGGAUUAGAUACCCCUGUAGUCCCUGUCUCUUAUAC
This 301-nucleotide ribosomal RNA is filed under the name uncultured bacterium. RNAcentral describes it as "partial 16S ribosomal RNA". It matches the Rfam family "Bacterial small subunit ribosomal RNA", at positions 509 to 807 of the family's 1533-position model. The record is from RNAcentral.